AACUCAAAWUGAAUUGACGGGGGCCCGCACAAGCGGUGGAGCAUGUGGUUUAAUUCGAUGCAACGCGAAGAACCUUACCUGGUCUUGACAUAGUAAGAACUUUCCAGAGAUGGAUUGGUGCCUUCGGGAACUUACAUACAGGUGCUGCAUGGCUGUCSUCAGCUCGUGUCGUGAGAUGUUGGGUUAAGUCCCGCAACGAGCGCAACCCUUUUCCUUAUUUGCCAGCACUUCGGGUGGGAACUUUAAGGAUACUGCCAGUGACAAACUGGAGGAAGGCGGGGACGACGUCAAGUCAUCAUGGCCCUUACGACCAGGGCUACACACGUGCUACAAUGGUCGGUACAAAGGGUUGCUACCUAGCGAUAGGAUGCUAAUCUCAAAAAGCCGAUCGUAGUCCGGAUUGGAGUCUGCAACUCGACUCCAUGAAGUCGGAAUCGCUAGUAAUCGCGGAUCAGAAUGCCGCGGUGAAUACGUUCCCGGGCCUUGUACACACCGCCCGUCACACCAUGGGAGUUUGUUGCACCAGAAGUAGGUAGUCUAACCGUAAGGAGGACGCUUACCACGGUGUGGCCGAUGACUGGGGUGAAGUCGUAACAAGGUAGCCGUAGGGGAACCUGCGGCUGGAUCAACCUC
RNAcentral lists this ribosomal RNA (633 nucleotides) under Acinetobacter guillouiae. RNAcentral's name for it is "bacterial SSU rRNA". It matches the Rfam family "Bacterial small subunit ribosomal RNA", at positions 898 to 1533 of the family's 1533-position model. Lineage: Bacteria; Pseudomonadati; Pseudomonadota; Gammaproteobacteria; Moraxellales; Moraxellaceae. The record is from RNAcentral.